Podarcis lilfordi (Lilford's wall lizard) is the source of this 86-nucleotide non-coding RNA. NCBI's taxonomy places the organism in Eukaryota, Metazoa, Chordata, Lepidosauria, Squamata, Lacertidae. The record is from the annotation of a GenBank genome assembly.
GCCCCAGUGGCGCAACCGGUCAGUGCAUCUGGCACUGGCACCUUCUGUUAAGCAGAAGGUUGGUGGUUCAAGCCCACCCAGGGAUG